GCAAAGUUUUGAUGAAAGUAUAAACAAAACUUUACUGGGAAUACAAUUAUCAAGCACACAAAAAAACAAAUACUUUAAAAACACACACUGCUAUAAACAAUACAUUCAGGUAAGAAAUCUACUUAGCUCUAUUCAUGGGGAUUCAGCAGCUUACACAGGAUAAUUGAAUCAGCAUAACACACAGAACAAUGAGGUGAGUUCCUUGCCACAUGUUAAAUGGAUUUACAUGGGCACCUCUAAAGACACCUGGCUUCUUCCGACCCAGUGAUGAAACUGAAACUCUAGUUUCUGGAAACCCCUUGAAUAACCUCCCAUCUGGUAUCCACCCACAGAGGUAACAUAACCAAUACCUAAUGGUCAUCUCUAGGAGGCGGAUACUACAUGUGGUCCUUUGUGAAAGGAAGUGACUUAAGAAUUCUCAAUACCUUCCUAAAGCACAUGUCUCAUUGACUAUGCGGCAGCCAUCUUUAUUCACUCGACGUCACAGUGCUCACUAGGCCACCUAUAGGUCACUUCCUCCCUAAAGCACAUGUCUCAUUAAAUAUGCAGCAGCCAUCUUCUUGCUCUUAAUGUCACAUAGCUCACUACACCCCCUAUAGGUAUCAUAAGUUAUUGCACAUGAAUGGGAACACAAUAAUAGAACAUUUAUCAUUGCCCAUAACCAAUACAAUCCACCUGUUGAUCCCAUUACAUGAGUAAUAACUAUAACUCAUAUAUUUCUCGGAUAGGUCUUUCUUCAUAGCUUGCUUUCCCACACAUAUAAUACAAUUUACAAAAAAAUACAAUAUUAUGCAUAAAACAACACCCACUACUACCCAUUGCAUUACUUUAAACCCUAAAUUACCCAACCACCCAAAAGGUCCACUAUCCGGUGGAUUCUGGAGCUUCUUCCUGGUAUCAUUUAUCUUUGAAAUAUCAUGUGUUAUUGCGCCAGAGUUAUUGACAAUAUAUGAGCAGCACUCUGUCCCUACCAACGCACAAACGCCUCCUUUGGCGGCCAAGACAUAAUCUAAUGCCAGUCUAUUUUGCAACACCACUGCUCUCAUUUGUACCUGCUCUUGGGAUAGUUUGUUAAUAGCAUCCACGGUUGCAUCUAAAGCUUCAUCCACUAGCUUUUUUAAAGCUUCUAUUCGAGUUAAUGACCAAUAUACUCCCCAGCCGGGAAAUACAAUUCCAGAAUUAGCUUCAUGUUCUCCGAUAAAUGAACUCCACCGUUUAUUUCUAAUCAUGCCUUCUGGAAAGCUAUUUCUAUGCCUUAUGGCGGGGAUGAUUGAUCCAAUGUAACAUUCUCCUUCCCAUUGAGUAGGUAACCAUCUAUAGGCCCAAUUACCACACAGAAA
Pelobates cultripes (western spadefoot toad) is the source of this 1340-nucleotide non-coding RNA. The record is from the annotation of a GenBank genome assembly. NCBI's taxonomy places the organism in Eukaryota, Metazoa, Chordata, Amphibia, Anura, Pelobatidae.